This 68-nucleotide transfer RNA is filed under the name Heliobolus lugubris. Its description in RNAcentral is "tRNA-His". It matches the Rfam family "tRNA". Rfam says of the family: Transfer RNA (tRNA) molecules are approximately 80 nucleotides in length. Their secondary structure includes four short double-helical elements and three loops (D, anti-codon, and T loops). Lineage: Eukaryota; Metazoa; Chordata; Lepidosauria; Squamata; Lacertidae. The record is from RNAcentral.
GUAAAUAUAGUUUAUUUAAAACAUUAGAUUGUGAAUCUAAUAACAGAAACUAACCCUUCUUAUUUACC